Molecule: ribosomal RNA, 459 nt
Filed under: uncultured bacterium
Lineage: Bacteria
Description: partial 16S ribosomal RNA
Rfam family: Bacterial small subunit ribosomal RNA
Source: RNAcentral
CCUACGGGCGGCAGCAGUGAGGAAUAUUGGUCAAUGGACGCAAGUCUGAACCAGCCAUGCCGCGUGCAGGAAGACGGCUCUAUGAGUUGUAAACUGCUUUUGUACGAGGGUAAACGCAGAUACGCGUAUCUGUCUGAAAGUAUCGUACGAAUAAGGAUCGGCUAACUCCGUGCCAGCAGCCGCGGUAAUACGGAGGAUUCAAGCGUUAUCCGGAUUUAUUGGGUUUAAGGGGUGCGCAGGCGGCGUGUCAAGUCAGCGGUAAAAUGGCGGGGCUCAACCCCGGCCGGCCGUUGAAACUGGCGUGCUCGAGUUGGAGAGAAGUAUGCGGAAUUCGUGGUGUAGCGGUGAAAUGCAUAGAUAUCACGAAGAACCCCGAUUGCGAAGGCAGCAUACCGGCUCCACACUGACGCUGAGGCACGAAAGCGUGGGUAUCGAACAGGAUUAGAUACCCCGGUAGUC